RNAcentral lists this transfer RNA (71 nucleotides) under Diaphorina citri (Asian citrus psyllid). It matches the Rfam family "tRNA". Rfam says of the family: Transfer RNA (tRNA) molecules are approximately 80 nucleotides in length. Lineage: Eukaryota; Metazoa; Arthropoda; Insecta; Hemiptera; Psyllidae. The record is from Rfam by way of RNAcentral.
GUCUCGGUGGUGUAGUGGUCAAGACGCUCGCCUGGUAAUCGGAGGACGUGGGUUCAAUUCUACCCAAGAUA